AAGUCGUAACAAGGUUUCCGUAGGUGAACCUGCGGAAGGAUCAUUAUCAUAACGUAUCCACGUAUAACCAAUUUAUUUAAUGUGAAAUGUAAUGUUAAAAGCCUUUGAUAGUCAGUGAUUGCUAUUUAGUUUCUACUUCUUUUGAUUAAGGAAACUUUAUAGACUUGGAAAAAGGGUUCUCCCUCUCUCCUAGCAUUGAUUACCGAAGCGUAACUAUUAAUCAAUCUAUUAACCCAUUGAACCGAUUAACUAUUAAUAUUAGUUAUUCAUUUCUUUUAUUGUGAACUGAAUUGUUCUUUACUCGUUUGUAACAAAAUGAGAAGGAAUUAUAUUUACGAAACAUAAAUUAUGAACAACUCUUAGCAACGGAUAUCUUGGUUCUC
This 383-nucleotide unclassified non-coding RNA is filed under the name fungal sp. RNAcentral describes it as "partial internal transcribed spacer region". The stretch from base 1 to 46 matches the Rfam family "Eukaryotic small subunit ribosomal RNA", at positions 1786 to 1831 of the family's 1831-position model. Lineage: Eukaryota; Fungi. The record is from RNAcentral.